ACCCCAGACUCCUACGGGAGGCAGCAGUGAGGAAUAUUGGUCAAUGGCCGAGAGGCUGAACCAGCCAAGUCGCGUGAGGGAUGACGGCCCUACGGGUUGUAAACCUCUUUUGUCGGGGAGCAAAAGACGCCACGUGUGGCGUUCCGAGAGUACCCGAAGAAAAAGCAUCGGUUAACUCCGUGCCAGCAGCCGCGGUAAUACGGAGGAUGCGAGCGUUAUCCGGAUUUAUUGGGUUUAAAGGGUGCGCAGGCGGAAGAUCAAGUCAGGGGUAAAAUUGAGAGGCUCAACCUCUGCGAGCCGUUGAAACUGGUUUUCUUGAGUGAGCGAGAAGUAUGCGGAAUGCGUGGUGUAGCGGUGAAAUGCAUAGAUAUCACGCAGAACUCCGAUUGCGAAGGCAGCAUACCGGCGCUCAACUGACGCUCAUGCACGAAAGCGUGGGUAUCGAACAGGAUUAGAUACCCCGGUAU
Molecule: ribosomal RNA, 467 nt
Filed under: uncultured bacterium
Lineage: Bacteria
Description: bacterial SSU rRNA
Rfam family: Bacterial small subunit ribosomal RNA
Source: RNAcentral